This 440-nucleotide ribosomal RNA is filed under the name uncultured bacterium. RNAcentral's name for it is "partial 16S ribosomal RNA". It matches the Rfam family "Bacterial small subunit ribosomal RNA", at positions 338 to 795 of the family's 1533-position model. The record is from RNAcentral.
CCUACGGGAGGCAGCAGUAAGGGAUAUUGGUCAAUGGGGGAAACCCUGAACCAGCAACGCCGCGUGAGGGAAGACGGUUUUCGGAUUGUAAACCUCUGUCCUCUGUGAAGAUGAUGCCGGUAGCAGAGGAUGAAGCUCCGUCUAACUACGUGCCAGCAACCGCGGUAAUACGGAGGGAGCGAGCGUUGUCCGGAUUUACUGGGUGUAAAGGGUGCGUAGGCGGUUUGGCAAGUGAGUAGUGAAAGCCAUGGGCUUAACCCAUGAACUGCUAUUGAAACUGUCGAGCUUGAGUGAAGUAGAGGGAGGCGGAAUGCCUGGUGUAGCGGUGAAAUGCGUAGAGAUCGGGAGGAACACCAGUGGCGAAGGCGGCCUACUGAGCUUUAACUGACGCUGAGGCACGAAAGCGUGGGUAGCAAACAGGAUUAGAUACCCGGGUAGUC